Acanthopagrus latus (yellowfin seabream) is the source of this 2428-nucleotide long non-coding RNA. RefSeq lists it as uncharacterized. The transcript is spliced from 5 exons. The record is from RefSeq and is a predicted model, not a curated record. Lineage: Eukaryota; Metazoa; Chordata; Actinopteri; Spariformes; Sparidae.
CCUGCAGAAAAGAAAAGAAAAAAAAAAAACACACCUCAGGCUUGUGAGUGCUGACUUGACAGUUGCCUUACUGAGCACGCAUGAGGUAACCGCACGUUUACACUAUGAGUGGCAACGUAGAUGUGAAUUACCACGGACCUGCUGCUGUGAAAACAUGUUUAUUUUAAGAGGGGACCUUUAAAAGCUAAUUCGUCAGCAUCAGCGGCAAAAUGUCAGGUCAGGCAACCAUGAGAAAAACAAGAGGAACACUAACCUACAACAACAGGAAAUCUGCUGAGUGAAAAACAGGCCCCAACCUUAAUGCGACUUGCUCAUUUCCAGUGAAGCAGUGUUUGUGUGUGUGUGUGUGUGUGUUUGUGUGUGUAGCUGGGGCCAUGAAAAAAAACUUGAAUCGAGUCCCCGCACUUCAUAAACAGAAACACUCAGGAGAAUAUUAACAGGGGUGAGAUGUUAAGAAGAGAAACAUCAGGUCAAGCUGUUGUUUCAUUUAUCACACACUCCUUUAUUUCAUUCAUUUGGAGCAUCCUACGAGCGACAGCGCUCAGCAUGUGUGGGAGUGAACCCUGGAAAACCAUUCAUACUCCCACACCAAAACCAAUUUCAACCCGACUAUUUUUAGUUCACUUCAUUCACAUUCCACGGCUCCGUUUGGUUCCUAUGUGGGGCACCACUUCUAGAUACCCGACACAGACUGCAGCAUUUAUUAUUACCAGCUGUUGCCUAGCAACAGAUAAAGGAUCUGAAUUCUGUGGGGGGAAAGAAAGAGAUAAAAGAAGAAGAGUUGGGAAACAAAUUAAGUCGAAUGGAAAAGAUGCCGUCAUUACCUAUUCACCCCAAGGUCACUGAACACUCUGGAAAGAGCUCGUCGUCGUCCUCCUCGGUGUAGCCGUGCAGAUCCUCCAGGUAGGGCACCACCGUCAUACUCCGCCAGGGAUCCCUGCUCUCGGCGCUGGCAGGGAUGGGCACGGGAGGCUCAGACGGAGGAUGUUUCUUACGCACCCAGCUGGAAGGGACAGAAAGUGACAGAUCAGCCUGUAGCUAAGCUUUCUAAAACGCUCACUGCAGCUCAUUCUGUUAAGUGUUCAACAUUAACCGGCGGCCACAGCAGCGAGGGGGGAAAAGCCGACAGCAGACAGACUCAUUCAAGAACUUUAAUUAAUGCAGGUAAUAAUCUCAUUCAUCACUGUGUGUCACAGCAUCCUGCAAAGCUCGAGGGGUCAAUGAGGUACAGUAAGGAAACAUCACUAUGAGUAGCAUAACAGCUGUAGCGAUGUAAUGAAGAUUUUGUCCCUUAAUUAUAAUUAUGUGAGCUGAAUGUGUGGGAAAAGCAGAAUGUCAGCGUGAUAAGGCAGCAGUGAUGCAGCGCCUAUCCACACCUAAUAAUGUAAUUGUCUCCCAGCAGGCAGAGAGGGGCAGCGUGCAGAGUGCUGAUAGUAGUGCUGCGCCUGCUGAAGGACACCUUUUGUGGCACUGGGCUUAUUUUAGACCAUGUAAUUAUGGACUGACUAUCUCUUAGGUGCUGCGUCAUCACACACAGACGUCACACUCUCACACAAAAUGGGGGGGUUGGAGGCCUGGCGAGUUAAACCAGCACCAGAAUGUGGCAGCAUUUUUCUCUAUUUAUGGCGAAACAAUCAAUUCACUGUGACUGAAGUGAGAUAACAGAUAAAACUGUUAAUAAGCUAGAACAGUAAUCACUCAGCAUCACGCAGGCGUUUGAUUAGUCGGUCCAAACAUAAUCUCCCCAACAUUCUCUCUGGAUUUUGCAGCCAUUCAGCCGAUUAUCGGUUUCACUAUAAAAGACUCUCGACUGUUUCUUUUGUUUCUCACGAGUGGCCGAGGCAUUGCAGCAUUCCACUUGGGAGAAGCAAAGCCUGACUAUGAAGUGUUUAGUAUUCUGCUGCUGGCCUCAGAUCAAUGGAAACUACGUCAACAGCUGGAGGGAUUUCUACAGUUUGGAGGAAGCCUCGAAUGCUGAGAAGUCACGGUGACUUUCGAUGUCACAGCACCACCUAGUGGACGCACACGGGAAAGAUCUUUAUGUGGUUUAUUACUGCCCUCACUUCACACACGACCAGUUCCAGCUUUUCUGCCUCCUUUUCUGUCAGGCAACACAAACUAGGAGCAAACGUUUUCACACCAGUCAUUGGAUUAAUACUACACUGCACCGUGAAUCAGUUUGGACUUCACAGGAAAUGAAACGUCUUCAUUGCAGAAUCAGUGUGUAGAUUUUCGAGCAGCGAUUCUUUGAUAAUACUGCAGGGAGGAACAGUGUUCACAGCCACUCCUACGCCACUAUUCAAGACAGGCGCAUCUUUGGUUGAAGACACUCCAUCAAGCAGGAUUGAAGCUGUGAGACUGUAACUACUCACAGUGUUACUCCAGCAGACCAAAUGUCCACUUUAAACCCUGAAAAGGUGUCCAGUCC